UCCACUUUAAAAUAAAAUUAAAGCUUCAUUAAUUAAUAAAGAAAUGGUUAACCGUGUACACGAAAAAGUAGGGGUUGUGUAAACGUUAACACUUUUUUGUAACCGUUCACAUCCCUAAUAUCCAGUACUCAUUAUCUUAAUUGCUAAUUCUUUAUCCACAAAUAUGGUCCCUUCAAUGGACCAGGAAGUGCUUCAUAAAAGGACCUUCUACGUCAUCAAGGCACGCCACUUGUGUUUGGAGUAUGACGUUCACUAAGUGGUUGGCAGACUGGAAAAACACAGGAUUUUACAGGCGUGUGUGUGUGUGUGUGUGUGUGUGUGUGUGUGUGUGUGUGUGUGUGUGUGUGUGUGUGUGUGUGUGUGUG
This is a long non-coding RNA of Gadus morhua (Atlantic cod), 365 nucleotides long. RefSeq lists it as uncharacterized. The transcript has 2 exons. The record is from RefSeq and is a predicted model, not a curated record. NCBI's taxonomy places the organism in Eukaryota, Metazoa, Chordata, Actinopteri, Gadiformes, Gadidae.